AUUUGACCACCAUCCUCUAAGAUUUCAAGAAGCAGGCAUAUACUGUGGCUUUCUAAGUCUCCUUCAAGACAGCCCUCAGGAAAACUAGAACAAGACCCAACUAUAACAACAUCAUAAAUGAAUCUCACAGGCAUAGUGAGCAAAAGAAGCCAGACACAAGAGUAUAUAUAGAAUGUGAAUCCAUUUGCAUGAAGUUCAAGAACUGAUAAAAUCAAUCAAAUAACAAUAAAAGCCAGAAUAUUGAUUACCUGUGGAAGAAUAAGUGCAGACCGAGGAAAGGCAUAAGAAAAACUUCUGAGCUGCUAAAAAUGUUCUAUAUCUUGAUUUGGAUGUUUGUUACAUAGGCAUACAUGUAUAUGAAUAUUUCAUCAGUCUCUAUGUUUAAUUUUAGUGCACUUUAAUGUGCCUUAUAGUUUG
Molecule: long non-coding RNA, 417 nt
Filed under: Mustela putorius furo (domestic ferret)
Lineage: Eukaryota; Metazoa; Chordata; Mammalia; Carnivora; Mustelidae
Description: lncRNA (ENSMPUG00000026499.1)
Source: RNAcentral